Molecule: ribosomal RNA, 274 nt
Filed under: uncultured Akkermansia sp.
Lineage: Bacteria; Pseudomonadati; Verrucomicrobiota; Verrucomicrobiia; Verrucomicrobiales; Akkermansiaceae
Description: partial 16S ribosomal RNA
Rfam family: Bacterial small subunit ribosomal RNA
Source: RNAcentral
AUGCAAGUCGAACGAGAGAAUUGCUAGCUUGCUAAUAAUUCUCUAGUGGCGCACGGGUGAGUAACACGUGAGUAACCUGCCCCCGAGAGCGGGAUAGCCCUGGGAAACUGGGAUUAAUACCGCAUAGAAUCGCAAGAUUAAAGCAGCAAUGCGCUUGGGGAUGGGCUCGCGGCCUAUUAGUUAGUUGGUGAGGUAACGGCCCACCAAACCUACGAUGGAUAGGGGUUCUGAGAGGAAGGUCCCCACAUUGGAACUGAGAUACGGCCCAGACUCC